This is a non-coding RNA of Vicia faba (fava bean), 342 nucleotides long. The record is from the annotation of a GenBank genome assembly. Lineage: Eukaryota; Viridiplantae; Streptophyta; Magnoliopsida; Fabales; Fabaceae.
AGAACGCCGCGUUUGGAGAGGAGAGAGGGUAUCGUCUCAACCGGCGCCGCGAAAAUCCAUUGAUCUUCAACUCCGAUUAACCUCCUUCUUCUUACAACGGCAGACAGUGAUUCUCUCUUCGCCUUCACCGUCGCGAUUCUUCUCUCAUGGUGCGACUCUUCUUCACCAACACAUCGGCGGCGCGGUCACUUCUUCUCCCUCUCGCUUCUUCUCAACAUGGCGGCCUCAACCUCCUCACCCUUACCUUCUCCACUUCAUGACGCUGUAAGCACGACAUCGCCACCAUCUCCUCAUGGUUUUGACUCCAUCUUGCUUUUGUUCUUCAUCUCAUAUCCGCAGUAA